Gossypium arboreum is the source of this 434-nucleotide long non-coding RNA. RefSeq lists it as uncharacterized. The transcript has 2 exons. The record is from RefSeq and is a predicted model, not a curated record. Lineage: Eukaryota; Viridiplantae; Streptophyta; Magnoliopsida; Malvales; Malvaceae.
UAAAGUAAAACAAAAGAAAAAGAAAUGAAAAAAAAAAGAGAUAGAAAAGAAACAGAAUGAAACGAAACAGAGAGCAAGGAAGGAAAGAAAAGAAAGAAAGGGAGAAAAGGGAAAUUUUAGAUUUCAAGGUUUGAAAGUUUAAUUGUCAAUGUGGUACCGGAAAUCUCGGCUAAGAAAGGACAAGACAAAGUCAACGGGAGUUAGCUCAGAAACUACGGUUUGUAUUUCUAUAAUCCGAACUUAAUACUUAAAUUGUUGGAUUUAUUAUUUAAUAUAUAUGUAGUAGGUGUUUUGAGAUGAUUAUUUGAAUUGGAUUGAAUAUUGAUUAUAUUGAAUUGAUUUAUGAAUAUAUAUAUAUAUAUAUAUGAAUGUUUGAAUUGAAAUGAAUAUUGAUGUGGAAAUUGAAUAAUAAAUAUUUGUUAUAUUGGAAAAUA